Molecule: long non-coding RNA, 316 nt
Filed under: Carica papaya (papaya)
Lineage: Eukaryota; Viridiplantae; Streptophyta; Magnoliopsida; Brassicales; Caricaceae
Description: long non-coding RNA (CPAP_LNC010759)
Source: RNAcentral
UUCCCUUACUCCUCUUCACUCACAGUCCUAAUCGAACCUCCCCAUAAUCGACCUCCUUCCUUCGCUUUGUUAUUUCAUCAGGCACCGAUGUCCUCCUUCAAUUUCUUACACUGUCUCAACCACAUCAUAGAACUUUAGCUGCCAUUUCAAAGUUUGCAAGAUUGAAUUCGCAUUACCUAUGUUUGAAAUUGAAAUUCACCAUACUUUCAGUCUCUAUUUUUUCGCACUUUUGUAGCUCGCACCGUCACCUUUCUCCUUCUCUCGCUCGCUCUUCUCCUUCUUUCCCUCUCCGACUCCCCUCUCGUUCGAAUCUUCU